GUGCAACACCUGAAAUUCCUGGGGCGAAUCAAACAGCAAAUUAAAGCUCAGACAACCUUCACCUGCAAACCAUGCACAGUAUAAGGAACUCAUUUUAAUGUUUUCUGGCUGAAGUCAUAGGGGAUAAGAAAACAAAAGAAUGGCCACGAAGGAAUCCUGGACAUUGUUACCAUUUACCUCCACUGGAUAUCUAUUUUCUUUCAAAAAGCACAAUCAACGUGCCUUUUCCCUGAUUUUCUCUGCCAAACAUAUCAGAUUGUGGGAGGUUUAUGGAUACACAGUACUUCACAGGCAACCUGAAAGGUCCCAAUUUGGGCCCCGAGUCUGCUGGAGAAAAGAGAAAGGCUAAGAAGCAGCCUACCUUACCUGUGGCUCUGGGUCUGAGGAUGGCCAGGAGAACAGAGAGCAAAGCAGAGCCAAUGCAAGACCUCUGGCCCUGGAAGCCGAAGGGUCUCUCACAGGUCAACGCAGGAUCUACUCCAUCAUCAUCUUCACUAGCACACCCAGUUCGAUUGAGGAGCCUUGACGUGGGAUAUUGAUGGGAUAUUGAGAGAAAAGAGAAAUGGUGAAUCAAGCACUAAUCUCAAAGCUUCUGCACAGAACUACUUACAUGUCACUUCCUCCCAUGACUAUUCCUAAAUUCAGCCAAAAGGGGACACAUAAUCUCUUACGGGGGAGGGCACCACGGGGAGAGAAACCCGAAUAUUUGGUGAAUAGUAACACAAUCUACUUUGUUAUAGAAUCUGUCCUCAAUGGUCUUACAGUCUAAGAGCAUUACAUUUAGUUACGGUAGUCUUAAAUAUGAUACUAAAUGAAUUGAAUAGCCAGACAUCUGUGAAAGUAAAACUGUGAUAAUACAAAGUCAGUGUGCUUUUAAGUUUCAAUUGCUUAAAGUUAUUUGGAAGUAAGGAUCACAUGAGUUCAGAGCCCCAGGAUUCAAAAAUAACUCCGGAAUCUUUUAUCACUCCCCAAAGGAAAAGCAAUAAUAAGUAAGUUACCAGACAUUCAUGUAAUCUCUCUGAAACUGUAAGACUAACAAAGGAAAAUUUUCAAAAGGCAGAAAUACUUUAUUAUUUAUUUGCAAUAGAAAUUAUUCAGCCGGGCGCGGUGGCUCAUGCCUGUAAUCCCAGCACUUUGGGAGGCCGAGGCGAGUGGAUCACCUGAGGUCGGGAGUUCGAGACCAGCCUGACCAACAUGGAGAAACCCCGUCUCUACUAAAAAUACACAAUUAGCUGGGCAUGGUGGCACAUGCCUGCAAGCCCAGCUACUCAGGAGGCUAAGGCAGGAGCGACAGAGCGAGACUCCAUCUCAAAAAAAAAAGAAAGAAAGAAAGGAAAAAAAGAAAAGAAAAGAAACAAAGAAA
Molecule: long non-coding RNA, 1363 nt
Filed under: Homo sapiens (human)
Lineage: Eukaryota; Metazoa; Chordata; Mammalia; Primates; Hominidae
Description: long intergenic non-protein coding RNA 1235
Source: RNAcentral